RNAcentral lists this ribosomal RNA (1001 nucleotides) under Staphylococcus aureus. RNAcentral describes it as "partial 23S ribosomal RNA". It matches the Rfam family "Bacterial large subunit ribosomal RNA", at positions 1632 to 2632 of the family's 2925-position model. The record is from RNAcentral. Lineage: Bacteria; Bacillati; Bacillota; Bacilli; Caryophanales; Staphylococcaceae.
AAAUAGGUGCCCGUACCGCAAACCGACACAGGUAGUCAAGAUGAGAAUUCUAAGGUGAGCGAGCGAACUCUCGUUAAGGAACUCGGCAAAAUGACCCCGUAACUUCGGGAGAAGGGGUGCUCUUUAGGGUUAACGCCCAGAAGAGCCGCAGUGAAUAGGCCCAAGCGACUGUUUAUCAAAAACACAGGUCUCUGCUAAACCGUAAGGUGAUGUAUAGGGGCUGACGCCUGCCCGGUGCUGGAAGGUUAAGAGGAGUGGUUAGCUUCUGCGAAGCUACGAAUCGAAGCCCCAGUAAACGGCGGCCGUAACUAUAACGGUCCUAAGGUAGCGAAAUUCCUUGUCGGGUAAGUUCCGACCCGCACGAAAGGCGUAACGAUUUGGGCACUGUCUCAACGAGAGACUCGGUGAAAUCAUAGUACCUGUGAAGAUGCAGGUUACCCGCGACAGGACGGAAAGACCCCGUGGAGCUUUACUGUAGCCUGAUAUUGAAAUUCGGCACAGCUUGUACAGGAUAGGUAGGAGCCUUUGAAACGUGAGCGCUAGCUUACGUGGAGGCGCUGGUGGGAUACUACCCUAGCUGUGUUGGCUUUCUAACCCGCACCACUUAUCGUGGUGGGAGACAGUGUCAGGCGGGCAGUUUGACUGGGGCGGUCGCCUCCUAAAAGGUAACGGAGGCGCUCAAAGGUUCCCUCAGAAUGGUUGGAAAUCAUUCAUAGAGUGUAAAGGCAUAAGGGAGCUUGACUGCGAGACCUACAAGUCGAGCAGGGUCGAAAGACGGACUUAGUGAUCCGGUGGUUCCGCAUGGAAGGGCCAUCGCUCAACGGAUAAAAGCUACCCCGGGGAUAACAGGCUUAUCUCCCCCAAGAGUUCACAUCGACGGGGAGGUUUGGCACCUCGAUGUCGGCUCAUCGCAUCCUGGGGCUGUAGUCGGUCCCAAGGGUUGGGCUGUUCGCCCAUUAAAGCGGUACGCGAGCUGGGUUCAGAACGUCGUGAGACAGUUC